This 468-nucleotide ribosomal RNA is filed under the name uncultured bacterium. Its description in RNAcentral is "partial 16S ribosomal RNA". It matches the Rfam family "Bacterial small subunit ribosomal RNA", at positions 28 to 507 of the family's 1533-position model. The record is from RNAcentral.
GACGAACGCUGGCGGCGUGCUUAACACAUGCAAGUCGAACGGAAAGGCCCUGCUUUUGUGGGGUGCUCGAGUGGCGAACGGGUGAGUAACACGUGAGUAACCUGCCCUUGACUUUGGGAUAACUUCAGGAAACUGGGGCUAAUACCGGAUAGGAGCUCCUGCCGCAUGGUGGGGGUUGGAAAGUUUCGGCGGUUGGGGAUGGACUCGCGGCUUAUCAGCUUGUUGGUGGGGUAGUGGCUUACCAAGGCUUUGACGGGUAGCCGGCCUGAGAGGGUGACCGGCCACAUUGGGACUGAGAUACGGCCCAGACUCCUACGGGAGGCAGCAGUGGGGAAUAUUGCACAAUGGGCGGAAGCCCGAUGCAGCAACGCCGCGUGCGGGAUGACGGCCUUCGGGUUGUAAACCGCUUUCGCCUGUGACGAAGCGUGAGUGACGGUAAUGGGUAAAGAAGCACCGGCUAACUACGUG